This 202-nucleotide unclassified non-coding RNA is filed under the name uncultured fungus. Its description in RNAcentral is "sequence contains ITS1". The record is from RNAcentral. Lineage: Eukaryota; Fungi.
UUGACUUAUUGUAUAAGUUACUCAGAGAGGCCACUGAUGACAAAGAGUUUCGGGCCUCUGGCGGGGUGCCAGACCCCCUAGAAGGGGGCCGACGCAGCCCGUUGUUAGCGGGCCACCCGCCGAAGCAACGGUGAGGUAGGUUCACAAUGGUUGGGAGUUUUGCAACUCUGUAAUGAUCCCUCCGCUGGUUCACCAACGGAGA